CGGCGUCGAGCGGCGGACGGGUGAGUAAUGCCUAGGAAAUUGCCUUGAUGUGGGGGAUAACCAUUGGAAACGAUGGCUAAUACCGCAUAAUGCCUACGGGCCAAAGAGGGGGACCUUCGGGCCUCUCGCGUCAAGAUAUGCCUAGGUGGGAUUAGCUAGUUGGUGAGGUAAUGGCUCACCAAGGCGACGAUCCCUAGCUGGUCUGAGAGGAUGAUCAGCCACACUGGAACUGAGACACGGUCCAGACUCCUACGGGAGGCAGCAGUGGGGAAUAUUGCACAAUGGGCGAAAGCCUGAUGCAGCCAUGCCGCGUGUAUGAAGAAGGCCUUCGGGUUGUAAAGUACUUUCAGUUGUGAGGAAGGGGGUGUCGUUAAUAGCGGCAUCUCUUGACGUUAGCAACAGAAGAAGCACCGGCUAACUCCGUGCCAGCAGCCGCGGUAAUACGGAGGGUGCGAGCGUUAAUCGGAAUUACUGGGCGUAAAGCGCAUGCAGGUGGUUCAU
This 501-nucleotide ribosomal RNA is filed under the name Vibrio sp. WH368. RNAcentral describes it as "bacterial SSU rRNA". It matches the Rfam family "Bacterial small subunit ribosomal RNA", at positions 86 to 583 of the family's 1533-position model. The record is from RNAcentral. Lineage: Bacteria; Pseudomonadati; Pseudomonadota; Gammaproteobacteria; Vibrionales; Vibrionaceae.